CUAGCAGCAUAUCAUGGUUACCCAAGCUAAGUAGAAUUGGUUAGAGAACCUAUCUAGUUACAACUACAAUGCAAUACGGUCCUUCUCUAAUACAAUACUCUUAAUCACAUUGUUUAAGUGAUAGUUUGUUUCAUGUCUACUAUCCAAUGUGAUACUUUCCUAUAUGAUUCCUUUGAAUAUGAUUUGGAACAAACUUCCUAAGUCAUAUUCAUAUGCUUUGGCCAAAGACUUUGGAAUCAUAUCUUAGAGUAUUCUCCUUCCACCAUGGAAGGUUAGAGAUCCCUUGUUGUGCAUUCAUAUGCCUACAUGACUAGAUAGCUUGACCCCAACAAUGCCGUGGACAAUCCGAAGGAAUGCCGUUGACAUGAUCAAAGAUCAAGGACCUAACCAUUAGACAUCCAUGAUGCCUCAGGUCAAAGGACUACUUUGCAUAUUGCAACUUUAGAGUUCAUACAUGACAUGUAUGUUCGAACUCUCUUUUGAUCGACGUUCAGUGUACUCGAUUACCUUUUCGAGCACUUAUGUGUUUGUCUCAGUGUCCAACACCAAAUGACUUGAGACUAGUUCAUACUCACGUUUGAGUCAACAUAACACAUACUAACCUUAGCGGAUUGUCAAUGCCUAAUUGGCAAUCCUAUGGCUAGGAACGUUUUAGGAAUGAACAUAAGAGAAAGGUCUCGAUAAUCU
Molecule: long non-coding RNA, 687 nt
Filed under: Malus domestica (apple)
Lineage: Eukaryota; Viridiplantae; Streptophyta; Magnoliopsida; Rosales; Rosaceae
Description: long non-coding RNA (MDOM_LNC018522)
Source: RNAcentral